RNAcentral lists this unclassified non-coding RNA (315 nucleotides) under uncultured fungus. Its description in RNAcentral is "sequence contains ITS2". The stretch from base 1 to 52 matches the Rfam family "5.8S ribosomal RNA", at positions 103 to 154 of the family's 154-position model. The record is from RNAcentral. Lineage: Eukaryota; Fungi.
AACGCACCUUGCGCUCCUUGGUAUUCCGAGGAGCAUGCCUGUUUGAGUGUCGUGAAAUUCUCAACCUUUCAAGCUUUGUUUCUGAAGCUAGUCAGGCUUGGAUCUUGGGAGUGUGCCGGUUUCUAUCGAGUCGGCUCUCCUUAAAUGCAUUAGCAAGAUUAAUCGCUGUAUUAUCUUUGAUAUGAUAAUUAUCUAUAUCAUAGAUAAAACAACUGUUUUCCUUCAUGGGAAAGAUCUAGCUUUCUAAUCGUCUUUCGAGACAACUAGAUUGAAUCAUUUGACCUCAAAUCAGGUAGGACUACCCGCUGAACUUAA